CCUACGGGAGGCAGCAGUAGGGAAUUUUCGUCAAUGGGCGCAAGCCUGAACGAGCGAUGCCGCGUGAGUGAGGAAGGCCUUCGGGUCGUAAAGCUCUAUCAGCAGGGAAGAAGAAAGACGGUACCUGACUAAGAAGCCCCGGCUAACUACGUGCCAGCAGCCGCGGUAAUACGUAGGGGGCAAGCGUUAUCCGGAUUUACUGGGUGUAAAGGGAGCGUAGACGGCUGUGCAAGUCUGAAGUGAAAGCCCAGGGCUCAACCCUGGGACUGCUUUGGAAACUGUGGAGCUAGAGUGCUGGAGAGGUAAGUGGAAUUCCUAGUGUAGCGGUGAAAUGCGUAGAUAUUAGGAGGAACACCAGUGGCGAAGGCGGCUUACUGGACAGUAACUGACGUUGAGGCUCGAAAGCGUGGGGAGCAAACAGUAUUAGAUACCCCAGUAGUC
This 441-nucleotide ribosomal RNA is filed under the name uncultured bacterium. RNAcentral's name for it is "partial 16S ribosomal RNA". It matches the Rfam family "Bacterial small subunit ribosomal RNA", at positions 338 to 795 of the family's 1533-position model. The record is from RNAcentral.